This 381-nucleotide ribosomal RNA is filed under the name Triticum aestivum (bread wheat). RNAcentral describes it as "partial small subunit ribosomal RNA". Lineage: Eukaryota; Viridiplantae; Streptophyta; Magnoliopsida; Poales; Poaceae. The record is from RNAcentral.
AUGGGCUUUGUGCAGGUGGUCACGAACCUUCUCUCCCAGCCAGAGGUCAUUGUUGUCCCAACAGUUAAGCGGCUGGGUUUACGGCUAAUGUGGAGGACUUUCGCAAGCUCCCUUUCAUCCGUGCCGUCUCCUCUGGUUUUCGGUUACGGGCCGCUUGUAGUUACCAAACAUAGAAACUACUCAGCGUACGACUACACGGAUUUCCUCACUGUGCUCGGUUUCAGCACCGACGUCGUGAAGCGGGUGCUACCAACGAAGCUGAAGGUUGACGCUCCAAUGGUGCCAACCACAUACCUUACUGGUGCCAGCAUCCAAACGCCAAAUCAGGUGAUGUUCUGGUGGUUCCAGAGUAUGUAUAUGGCGAUGGUGACAAGGUUGUGA